GAUGAACGCUGGCGGCGUGCCUAAUACAUGCAAGUCGAGCGAACAGAUGAGGAGCUUGCUCCUCUGACGUUAGCGGCGGACGGGUGAGUAACACGUGGAUAACCUACCUAUAAGACUGGGAUAACUUCGGGAAACCGGAUCUAAUACCGUAUGAUAUAUUGAACCGCAUGGUUCAAUAGUGAAAGACGGUGUUGCUGUCACUUAUAGAUGGAUCCGCGCUGCAUUAGCUAGUUGGUAAGGUAACGGCUUACCAAGGCAACGAUGCGUAGCCGACCUGAGAGGGUGAUCGGCCACACUGGAACUGAGACACGGUCCAGACUCCUACGGGAGGCAGCAGUAGGGAAUCUUCCGCAAUGGGCGAAAGCCUGACGGAGCAACGCCGAGUGAGUGAUGAAGGUCUUCGGAUCGUAAAACUCUGUUAUUAGGGAAGAACAAAUGUGUAAGUAACUGUGCACGUCUUGACGGUACCUAAUCAGAAAGCCACGGCUAACUACGUG
This 497-nucleotide ribosomal RNA is filed under the name uncultured bacterium. RNAcentral describes it as "partial 16S ribosomal RNA". It matches the Rfam family "Bacterial small subunit ribosomal RNA", at positions 28 to 507 of the family's 1533-position model. The record is from RNAcentral.